Molecule: ribosomal RNA, 913 nt
Filed under: uncultured bacterium
Lineage: Bacteria
Description: bacterial SSU rRNA
Rfam family: Bacterial small subunit ribosomal RNA
Source: RNAcentral
AGAGUUUGAUCCUGGCUCAGGAUGAACGCUGGCGGCGUGCCUAAUACAUGCAAGUCGAGCGAGAAGCUUUUGAGUGACGCUUCGGUUGAACGAUAAAGUGGAAAGCGGCGGACGGGUGAGUAACGCGUAGGCAACCUGCCCUUAGCAGAGGGAUAGCCAUUGGAAACGAUGAUUAAAACCUCAUAACAUCGUAGUAACACAUGUUACAUCGGUCAAAGAUUUAUCGGCUAAGGAUGGGCCUGCGUCUGAUUAACUAGUUGGUGAGGUAACGGCCCACCAAGGUGACGAUCAGUAGCCGACCUGAGAGGGUGAUCGGCCACAUUGGAACUGAGACACGGUCCAAACUUCUACGGAAGGCAGCAGUAAGGAAUCUUGCACAAUGGGGGAAACCCUGAUGCAGCAACGCCGCGUGAUUGAUGAAGGCCUUCGGGUUGUAAAAAUCUGAUCUAAGGGAAGAAACAAAUGACGGUACCUUAGGAGAAAGCCCCGGCUAACUACGUGCCAGCAGCCGCGGUAAUACGUAGGGGGCAAGCGUUAUCCGGAAUUAUUGGGCGUAAAGAGUGCGUAGGUGGUUACCUAAGCGCAAGGUUUAAUCUUGAGGCUUAACCUCAUUCUGCCUUGCGAACUGGGCUACUUGAGUGCAGGAGGGGAAAGCGGAAUUCCUAGUGUAGCGGUGAAAUGCGUAGAUAUGACGAAGAACGAAGAACUCCGAUUGCGAAGGCACCCUUCUGGAGUGCGAUUCACGCUGAGGCUCGAAAGCGCGGGUAUCAAACAGGAUUAGAUACCCUGGUAGUCCGCCCCGUAAACGAUGGAUUCCCGUCAUUGGCGAUACACAGUCAGUGCCCAAGCGAAAGCAUUAAGCAUCCCACCUGGGGAGUACGCCGGCAACGGUGAAACUCAAAGGAAUUGACGG